GCAUAUCAAUAAGCGGAGGAAAAGAAACCAACAGGGAUUGCCCUAGUAACGGCGAGUGAAGCGGCAACAGCUCAAAUUUGAAAUCUGGCUCUCGGGCCCGAGUUUGUAAUUUGUAGAGGAUGCUUUUGAUGCGGUGCCUUCCGAGUUCCCUGGAACGGGACGCCAUAGAGGGUGAGAGCCCCGUCUGGUUGGAUGCCAAAUCUCUGUAAAGCUCCUUCGACGAGUCGAGUAGUUUGGGAAUGCUGCUCUAAAUGGGAGGUAUAUGUCUUCUAAAGCUAAAUACCGGCCAGAGACCGAUAGCGCACAAGUAGAGUGAUCGAAAGAUGAAAAGCACUUUGAAAAGAGAGUUAAAAAGUACGUGAAAUUGUUGAAAGGGAAGCGUUUAUGACCAGACUUGGGCUUGGUUAAUCAUCUGGGGUUCUCCCCAGUGCACUUUUCCAGUCCAGGCCAGCAUCAGUUUUCGCCGGGGGAUAAAGGCUUCGGGAAUGUGGCUCUCUCCGGGGAGUGUUAUAGCCCGUUGCGUAAUACCCUGGCGGGGACUGAGGUUCGCGCAUCUGCAAGGAUGCUGGCGUAAUGGUCAUCAACGACCCGUCUUGAAACACGGACCAAGGAGUCGUCUUCGUAUGCGAGUGUUCGGGUGUCAAACCCCUACGCGUAAUGAAAGUGAACGCAGGUGAGAGCUUCGGCGCAUCAUCGACCGAUCCUGAUGUUCUCGGAUGGAUUUGAGUAAGAGCAUACGGGGCCGGACCCGAAAGAAGGUGAACUAUGCCUGUGUAGGGUGAAGCCAGAGGAAAACUCUGGUGGAGGCUCGCAGCGGUUCUGACGUGCAAAUCGAUCGUCAAACAUGGGCAUGGGGGGCGAAAGACUAAUCGAACCUUCUAGUAGCUGGUUUCCGCCGA
This 899-nucleotide ribosomal RNA is filed under the name Fusarium incarnatum. RNAcentral's name for it is "LSU rRNA". It matches the Rfam family "Eukaryotic large subunit ribosomal RNA", at positions 38 to 964 of the family's 3401-position model. The record is from RNAcentral. Lineage: Eukaryota; Fungi; Ascomycota; Sordariomycetes; Hypocreales; Nectriaceae.